RNAcentral lists this ribosomal RNA (395 nucleotides) under uncultured bacterium. RNAcentral's name for it is "partial 16S ribosomal RNA". It matches the Rfam family "Bacterial small subunit ribosomal RNA", at positions 523 to 918 of the family's 1533-position model. The record is from RNAcentral.
AUACGUAGGGUGCAAGCGUUAAUCGGAAUUACUGGGCGUAAAGCGUGCGCAGGCGGUUCGGAAAGAAGGAUGUGAAAUCCCAGGGCUCAACCUUGGAACUGCAUUCUUAACUACCGAACUAGAGUAUGUCAGAGGGGGGUAGAAUUCCGCGUGUAGCAGUGAAAUGCGUAGAUAUGCGGAGGAAUACCGAUGGCGAAGGCAGCCCCCUGGGAUAAUACUGACGCUCAUGCACGAAAGCGUGGGUAGCAAACAGGAUUAGAUACCCUGGUAGUCCACGCCCUAAACGAUGUCAACUAGCUGUUGGGCCCUUCGGGGCUUAGUAGCGUAGCUAACGCGUGAAGUUGACCGCCUGGGGAGUACGGUCGCAAGAUUAAAACUCAAAUGAAUUGGCGGGG